UCCCAGACUCCUACGGGAGGCAGCAGUGAGGAAUAUUGGUCAAUGGGCUUACGCCUGAACCAGCCAAGUCGCGUGAGGGAAGACUGCCCCAUGGGUUGUAAACCUCUUUUGUCAGGGAGCAACGCCGGCUACGUGUAGCCGGACUGAGAGUACCUGAAGAAAAAGCAUCGGCUAACUCCGUGCCAGCAGCCGCGGUAAUACGGAGGAUGCGAGCGUUAUCCGGAUUUAUUGGGUUUAAAGGGUGCGUAGGCGGAAUGCCAAGUCAGCGGUAAAAUCGCGGGGCUCAACCUCGCUCCGCCGUUGAAACUGGCGUUCUUGAGUGGGCGAGAAGUAUGCGGAAUGCGUGGUGUAGCGGUGAAAUGCUUAGAGAUCAUACAGAACACCGAUUGCGAAGGCAGCUUACCAAUCUAUAUCUGACGUUGAGGCACGAAAGCGUGGGGAGCAAACAGGAUUAGAUACCCCAGUA
Molecule: ribosomal RNA, 466 nt
Filed under: uncultured bacterium
Lineage: Bacteria
Description: bacterial SSU rRNA
Rfam family: Bacterial small subunit ribosomal RNA
Source: RNAcentral